AUUGAACGCUGGCGGCAUGCUUUACACAUGCAAGUCGGACGGCAGCACAGAGAAGCUUGCUUCUUGGGUGGCGAGUGGCGAACGGGUGAGUAAUAUAUCGGAACGUACCGAGUAAUGGGGGAUAACUACUUCGAAAGAUUAGCUAAUACCGCAUAUUCUCUGAGGAGGAAAGCAGGGGACCUUCGGGCCUUGCGUUAUUCGAGCGGCCGAUAUCUGAUUAGCUAGUUGGUGGGGUAAAGGCCUACCAAGGCGACGAUCAGUAGCGGGUCUGAGAGGAUGAUCCGCCACACUGGGACUGAGACACGGCCCAGACUCCUACGGGAGGCAGCAGUGGGGAAUUUUGGACAAUGGGCGCAAGCCUGAUCCAGCCAUGCCGCGUGUCUGAAGAAGGCCUUCGGGUUGUAAAGGACUUUUGUCAGGGAAGAAAAGGACAGGGUUAAUACCCCUGUUUGA
Molecule: ribosomal RNA, 453 nt
Filed under: Neisseria subflava
Lineage: Bacteria; Pseudomonadati; Pseudomonadota; Betaproteobacteria; Neisseriales; Neisseriaceae
Description: bacterial SSU rRNA
Rfam family: Bacterial small subunit ribosomal RNA
Source: RNAcentral